CGCAUGGUAGGAGAGCGUUCCGUAAGCCUGCGAAGGUGCCUUGUAAAGGGUGCUGGAGGUAUCGGAAGUGCGAAUGCUGACAUGAGUAGCGAUAAAGGGGGUGAAAGGCCCCCUCGCCGUAAGCCCAAGGUUUCCUACGCAACGUUCAUCGGCGUAGGGUGAGUCGGCCCCUAAGGCGAGGCAGAAAUGCGUAGCUGAUGGGAAGCAGGUCAAUAUUCCUGCACCAUUGUUAGAUGCGAUGGGGGGACGGAUCGCGGAAGGUUGUCCGGGUGUUGGAAGUCCCGGUCGCUGCAUUGGAGAAGGCACUUAGGCAAAUCCGGGUGCGUAAUUCAAGGGUGUGGCGCGAGCUCCUUCGGGAGCGAAGCAAUUGGAAGUGGUUCCAAGAAAAGCCUCUAAGCUUCAGUCUAACGAUGACCGUACCGCAAACCGACACAGGUGGGCGAGAUGAGUAUUCUAAGGCGCUUGAGAGAACUCGGGAGAAGGAACUCGGCAAAUUGGUACCGUAACUUCGGGAUAAGGUACGCCCUUGUAGCUUGACUGGCCUGCGCCAGGAGGGUGAAGGGGUUGCAAUAAACUGGUGGCUGCGACUGUUUAAUAAAAACACAGCACUCUGCAAACACGAAAGUGGACGUAUAGGGUGUGACGCCUGCCCGGUGCCGGAAGAUUAAAUGAUGGGGUGCAAGCUCUUGAUUGAAGUCCCGGUAAACGGCGGCCGUAACUAUAACGGUCCUAAGGUAGCGAAAUUCCUUGUCGGGUAAGUUCCGACCUGCACGAAUGGCGUAACGAUGGCCACACUGUCUCCUCCCGAGACUCAGCGAAGUUGAAGUGUUUGUGAUGAUGCAAUCUACCCGCGGCUAGACGGAAAGACCCCAUGAACCUUUACUGUAGCUUUGCAUUGGACUUUGAACCGAUCUGUGUAGGAUAGGUGGGAGGCUAUGAAACCGGAACGCUAGUUUCGGUGGAGCCGUCCUUGAAAUACCACCCUGGUUUGUUUGAGGUUCUAACCUUGGCCCGUGAUCCGGGUCGGGGACAGUGCAUGGUAGGCAGUUUGACUGGGGCGGUCUCCUCCCAAAGCGUAACGGAGGAGUACGAAGGUACGCUAGGUACGGUCGGAAAUCGUGCUGAUAGUGCAAUGGCAUAAGCGUGCUUAACUGCGAGACCGACAAGUCGAGCAGGUGCGAAAGCAGGUCAUAGUGAUCCGGUGGUUCUGUAUGGAAGGGCCAUCGCUCAACGGAUAAAAGGUACUCUGGGGAUAACAGGCUGAUACCGCCCAAGAGUUCAUAUCGACGGCGGUGUUUGGCACCUCGAUGUCGGCUCAUCUCAUCCUGGGGCUGUAGCCGGUCCCAAGGGUAUGGCUGUUCGCCAUUUAAAGAGGUACGUGAGCUGGGUUUAAAACGUCGUGAGACAGUUUGGUCCCUAUCUGCCGUGGGCGUUGGAUAUUUGAAGGGGGCUGCUCCUAGUACGAGAGGACCGGAGUGGACGAACCUCUGGUGUACCGGUUGUCACGCCAGUGGCAUCGCCGGGUAGCUAUGUUCGGAAGAGAUAACCGCUGAAAGCAUCUAAGCGGGAAACUCGCCUUAAGAUGAGAUAUCCCUGGGGACUAGAUCCCCUUGAAGGGUCGUUCGAGACCAGGACGUUGAUAGGUCAGGUGUGUAAGCGCAGUAAUGCGUUCAGCUAACUGAUACUAAUUGCCCGUAAGGCUUGAUCCU
RNAcentral lists this ribosomal RNA (1709 nucleotides) under Burkholderia vietnamiensis. RNAcentral's name for it is "partial 23S ribosomal RNA". It matches the Rfam family "Bacterial large subunit ribosomal RNA", at positions 1222 to 2925 of the family's 2925-position model. RNAcentral also lists the same sequence under 1 other name. Lineage: Bacteria; Pseudomonadati; Pseudomonadota; Betaproteobacteria; Burkholderiales; Burkholderiaceae. The record is from RNAcentral.